AGCGAACGCUGGCGGCAGGCCUAACACAUGCAAGUCGAACGAACUCUUCGGAGUUAGUGGCGGACGGGUGAGUAACACGUGGGAACGUGCCUUUAGGUUCGGAAUAACUCAGGGAAACUUGUGCUAAUACCGAAUGUGCCCUUCGGGGAAAGAUUAUCGCCUUUAGAGCGGCCCGCGUCUGAUUAGCUAGUUGGUGAGGUAAAGGCUCACCAAGGCGACGAUCAGUAGCUGGUCUGAGAGGAUGAUCAGCCACAUUGGGACUGAGACACGGCCCAAACUCCUACGGGAGGCAGCAGUGGGGAAUCUUGCGCAAUGGGCGAAAGCCUGACGCAGCCAUGCCGCGUGAAUGAUGAAGGUCUUAGGAUUGUAAAAUUCUUUCACCGGGGACGAUAAUGACGGUACCCGGAGAAGAAGCCCCGGCUAACUUCGUGCCAGCAGCCGC
RNAcentral lists this ribosomal RNA (442 nucleotides) under uncultured bacterium. RNAcentral's name for it is "bacterial SSU rRNA". It matches the Rfam family "Bacterial small subunit ribosomal RNA", at positions 29 to 518 of the family's 1533-position model. The record is from RNAcentral.